RNAcentral lists this ribosomal RNA (323 nucleotides) under uncultured eukaryote. Its description in RNAcentral is "partial 18S ribosomal RNA". It matches the Rfam family "Eukaryotic small subunit ribosomal RNA", at positions 1470 to 1796 of the family's 1831-position model. The record is from RNAcentral.
CCCUUAGAUGUCCUGGACAGCACGCGUGCUACAAUGAUGCAUUCAACGAGUCUUGCCUUAACCGAAAGGUUCGGGUAAACUUUUGAAAUUGCAUCUUGUCGGGGCUUGAUCAUUGUAAUUUUUGAUCACAAACAAGGAAUUCCUUGUAAAUGUGAGUCAUCAACUUGCAUUGAAUACGUCCCUGCCCUUUGUACACACCGCCCGUCGCUUCUACCGAUGAAUGAUCCGGUGAACACUCUGGACUUGUUGUCUGUCGGAGCAAUCCAAAGACGAUAGGGAAGUUGUGUAAACCUUAUCAUUUAGAGGAAGAAGAAGUCGUAACA